Molecule: unclassified non-coding RNA, 433 nt
Filed under: soil metagenome
Description: partial contains 5.8S ribosomal RNA, internal transcribed spacer 2, and large subunit ribosomal RNA
Rfam family: 5.8S ribosomal RNA (bases 1-120)
Source: RNAcentral
GAUGAAGAACGUAGCGAAAUGCGAUACGUAACGUGAAUUGCAGAAUUCAGUGAAUCAUCGAAUCUUUGAACGCAUAUUGCGCUCUCUGGUAUUCCGGAGAGCAUGCUUGUUUGAGUAUCAGUAAACACCUCAACUCCCUUUUCUUUUUUGAAAUGGGAGCUGGACUUGAGUGAUCCCAACACUUUUCUCACUGGAAAGUGGCGGGUCACUUGAAAUGCAGGUGCAGCUGGACUUUUCUCUGAGCUAUAAGCAUAUCUAUUUAGUCUGCCUAAAAAACAGAUUAUUACCUUUGCUGCAGCUAACAUAAAGGAGAUGAGUUCUUGUGCUGACUGAUGCAGGAUUCACAGAGACAGCUUUGCGGCUGACUUUGUAAACUCGAUCUCAAAUCAAGUAAGACUACCCGCUGAACUUAAGCAUAUCAAUAAGCGGAGGA